Molecule: long non-coding RNA, 1349 nt
Filed under: Oncorhynchus mykiss (rainbow trout)
Lineage: Eukaryota; Metazoa; Chordata; Actinopteri; Salmoniformes; Salmonidae
Description: lncRNA (ENSOMYG00000051370.1)
Source: RNAcentral
AUGCUAGUAAACAAAUACGUGUUCAAAAACCAUAUUAAUACAUCGUUUUUUAUAAAGAAUGUUUUGUUACAUUUAACUGCUGAAAAUGCUUUUAGAGGCCAUUUCCUUAGUACGUUACAUCAGAGUUCAGCAUGUGGGAGAGGUUGGCGCGCAAGGAUGAUAGACGAGUUUCCCAUCAGUAAUUACGAGUUAGAGGGGCGUUCAAGUGGAUGCUUCACAGUCGUAUGUGGUAAAUACCACCUUCCAACUUGUCACAAACGCAACAUUACCAAAUCGUAUGUCAUAGCAAUCUGGUGCCCGACGGCGCAGUCGAUGAUGUGUCCAUCUGUCUCUCCAUGAUAGCUUAUUGGACAGAGGUACAGCUCAGGUGAGUAUGUGGGUGUGUUGUGUGUGGCUGUGUGUGUGUGUUUCUUAGAUUGUGUGUGUAACGCUGACGCCCCUGACGCCCAGUGACAGUGGAAGGAGAGGUGAGGGGAGGCAGCCAGUGAUGGACGGGUAUCAGGAGGGAUUAGUGGUAAAGGUAGGCAGGCGUGUUCUCUCUCUGUCUAGGCGGAUUUCAAUCUGUCUCUUUCUCUCUCUGCAGUUACACAGCACCGACCCUGUUUGAACUGCUAGUGCCUCAUCUCAUCUCCCUCCAAACAACUGACUGCUGUCAUCUUCCAUGGCUCUGUAAUAUUUGUGUGUGUGUGUGUCUGUGUGGGUGUCAGUUUAUCGCCCUCUGUCCGUGUGUGUGUGUUUGUCUGUGAGAGAAAGUGAUUCAGUUUCUCUUUCCCUGCGAUGCCACUGCUGCCUAAGGAGGCAGAACGAUUCGAUGGGCUAUCUCUACUUUAUUGGUAUGUCCAUCUUUCUCAUUUUCAUCCUCUGUUGCUUAAUUAAUCAUCCUCUUCCUCACUCUUUUAAAGUCCCAGUGCAGUCAAAAACGUGAUUUCCCAGUUUUUUAUAGAUAUACAUUUCUACACUAUGAGGUUGGAAUAAUACUGUGAAAUUGUGAAAAUGAUCAUAAUGCCCUUUCAGCUUAAAAACGGUUUGAAAAGACCACCUGCAAUUUCAGCCUGUUUUGGUGGGAGGGAGUUUUGGCCUUCCUGGUGACAUCACCAGUGGCAAAUUAGCUAAUUAACCAAUAAGAAAGAGUUGAAAACCUCUCUGCCAAUAACAGCUAGUUUUCAGUUUUCUCCUCCCCACUCAGACCACUCCCAGACAGCCCUAGCAAAAUUAUUGCUUGAGAAAUUGCAUAGACAACAUUUUUCUGUUAUAAAGCUAAUUUCCUGCAAUUCUGCACAUUUUGUCAUGGGGCGGAGAGAACAUUUUACAGUUUAAAGCUAGUUUUCUGCAAUUCCACAUAUUUUGCC